CUGUAGGUCCUCCUGACCAGUCCUCUCUCUGUGUUAAUGCAGUAGUUACUUUGCCUUGUGCGUCAUUACGCAGCUUCCUCCUUUUGGAGACACACUUUGGAUCCUGUGAAGCUGCAGGUAUUUAAUAUAGACAAACAUCUGGGAGCAACUGACACAACAAGGGCUCCUGUUACAGGCUGAAUUCACUGAAUGUCAGGAGAAUCCAGCUGAGGGGGCACAGGGAUCAUCACAGAUGAGUCUGAAGGUUGGAGUGGACCAAGAUGAGCCAUUAUUUAAUGCAUACAGCACAACUUCAGGAUCUCAGCUAUCAUUUGAAACC
Long non-coding RNA from Archocentrus centrarchus (flier cichlid), 319 nucleotides. RefSeq lists it as uncharacterized. NCBI's taxonomy places the organism in Eukaryota, Metazoa, Chordata, Actinopteri, Cichliformes, Cichlidae. The transcript is spliced from 3 exons. The record is from RefSeq and is a predicted model, not a curated record.